Molecule: ribosomal RNA, 253 nt
Filed under: uncultured Legionella sp.
Lineage: Bacteria; Pseudomonadati; Pseudomonadota; Gammaproteobacteria; Legionellales; Legionellaceae
Description: partial 16S ribosomal RNA
Rfam family: Bacterial small subunit ribosomal RNA
Source: RNAcentral
UACGGAGGGUGCAAGCGUUAAUCGGAAUUACUGGGCGUAAAGGGUGCGUAGGUUGUUUUUUAAGUUAUCUGUAAAAUCCCUGGGCUCAACCUGGGCAUGCCAGAUAAGACUGAAAGACUCGAGUAUGGGAGAGGGUAGUGGAAUUUCCGGUGUAGCGGUGAAAUGCGUAGAGAUCGGAAGGAACACCAGUGGCGAAGGCGGCUACCUGGCCUAAUACUGACACUGAGGCACGAAAGCGUGGGGAGCAAACAGG